UACGGAGGAUGCGAGCGUUAUCCGGAUUUAUUGGGUUUAAAGGGUGCGUAGGCGGCCGAGUAAGUCAGCGGUGAAAUUUUGCAGCUUAACUGUAAAAUUGCCGUUGAAACUGUCGGUCUUGAGUGCAAAUGAGGUAGGCGGAAUGUGUCGUGUAGCGGUGAAAUGCAUAGAUAUGAAACAGAACACCAAUUGCGAAGGCAGCUUACUGGGAUGCAACUGACACUGAGGCACGAAGGCGUGGGGAUCAAACAGGAUUAGA
Molecule: ribosomal RNA, 259 nt
Filed under: uncultured prokaryote
Description: partial 16S ribosomal RNA
Rfam family: Bacterial small subunit ribosomal RNA
Source: RNAcentral